RNAcentral lists this long non-coding RNA (468 nucleotides) under Mytilus galloprovincialis (Mediterranean mussel). Lineage: Eukaryota; Metazoa; Mollusca; Bivalvia; Mytilida; Mytilidae. The record is from RNAcentral.
UGGUUGGGGACCAAAAUAAAAAUAAUGUUUAUCUAAUAAAGAUCUAUUUUUACUAUUUGAUAAAAUCAUAGUUUGGGUUUUCUUGGUGUUCACAUUUAGGCCCCAAUCAAUACAAAAGGAUUGUAUAAAGGCAUCCACACAGUGUUGCAAGCCAUUAGGUGUUUCUGAAAUUAAGAUUAAAUCAUCUGCAUAAAGAAGAUGACUAAAGUUAUUCUGAUUUAAAUUAACUGGAUCAGACAAAACGGGGUUGAAAUAGGAACAUUGUCAUCAACAAAAAUAUUAAAAAGGGUGGGGCUAAGACUGUCCCCCUGUUUCACCCCUAAAUUAGCAUGGAAUGAUUCACUAAUAAAUCGGAUUAUCGGAACCAUCUGUUUUACAACAAUAUAAUGUAUUACUAUACAUAUGUUUUAACAAGUCAUAAAAUUUCCCACCUAUUCCCUUUUUGAGCAAUUUAUGUAGUAAUGCCUU